GAUGAACGCUGGCGGCGUGCCUAAUACAUGCAAGUCGAGCGAACGGACGAGAAGCUUGCUUCUCUGAUGUUAGCGGCGGACGGGUGAGUAACACGUGGAUAACCUACCUAUAAGACUGGGAUAACUUCGGGAAACCGGAGCUAAUACCGGAUAAUAUUUUGAACCGCAUGGUUCAAAAGUGAAAGACGGUCUUGCUGUCACUUAUAGAUGGAUCCGCGCUGCAUUAGCUAGUUGGUAAGGUAACGGCUUACCAAGGCAACGAUGCAUAGCCGACGUGAGAGGGUGAUCGGCCACACUGGAACUGUGACACGGUCCAGACUCCUACGAGAGGCAGCAGUAGGGAAUCUUCCGCAAUGCGCGAAAGCCUGACGGAGCAACGCCGCGUGAGUGAUGAAGGUCUUCGGAUCGUAAAACUCUGUUAUUAGGGAAGAACAUAUGUGUAAGUAACUGUGCACAUUUUGACGGUACCUAAUCAGAAGACCACGGCUAACUACGUG
This 497-nucleotide ribosomal RNA is filed under the name uncultured bacterium. RNAcentral's name for it is "partial 16S ribosomal RNA". It matches the Rfam family "Bacterial small subunit ribosomal RNA", at positions 28 to 507 of the family's 1533-position model. The record is from RNAcentral.